GACGAACGCUGGCGGCGUGCCUAUACAUGCAAGUCGAGCGAAGUUUUUCUGGUGCUUGCACUAGAAAAACUUAGCGGCGAACGGGUGAGUAACACGUAAAGAACCUGCCUUAUAGACUGGGACAACUAUUGGAAACGAUAGCUAAUACCGGAUAACAGCAUUAACUGCAUGGUUGAUGUUUGAAAGUUGGUUUUGCUAACACUAUGAGAUGGCUUUGCGGUGCAUUAGCUAGUUGGUGGGGUAAAGGCCUACCAAGGCGACGAUGCAUAGCCGACCUGAGAGGGUGAUCGGCCACACUGGGACUGAGACACGGCCCAGACUCCUACGGGAGGCAGCAGUAGGGAAUCUUCCGCAAUGGGCGAAAGCCUGACGGAGCAACGCCGCGUGAGUGAAGAAGGAUUUCGGUUCGUAAAGCUCUGUUGUUAGGGAAGAAUGAUUGUGUAGUAACUAUACACAGUAGAGACGGUACCUAACCAGAAAGCCACGGCUAACUACGUGCCAGCAGCCGCGGUAAUACGUAGGUGGCAAGCGUUGUCCGGAAUUAUUGGGCGUAAAGCGCGCGCAGGUGGUUUAAUAAGUCUGAUGUGAAAGCCCACGGCUCAACCGUGGAGGGUCAUUGGAAACUGUUAAACUUGAGUGCAGGAGAGAAAAGUGGAAUUCCUAGUGUAGCGGUGAAAUGCGUAGAGAUUAGGAGGAACACCAGUGGCGAAGGCGGCUUUUUGGCCUGUAACUGACACUGAGGCGCGAAAGCGUGGGGAGCAAACAGG
RNAcentral lists this ribosomal RNA (767 nucleotides) under uncultured bacterium. RNAcentral describes it as "bacterial SSU rRNA". It matches the Rfam family "Bacterial small subunit ribosomal RNA", at positions 28 to 776 of the family's 1533-position model. The record is from RNAcentral.